CCAUUUAAAGAGGUACGCGAGCUGGGUUUAGAACGUCGUGAGACAGUUCGGUCCCUAUCUACCGUGGGCGCUGGAGAAUUGAGGGGGGCUGCUCCUAGUACGAGAGGACCGGAGUGGACGCAUCACUGGUGUUCGGGUUGUCAUGCCAAUGGCACUGCCCGGUAGCUAAAUGCGGAAGAGAUAAGUGCUGAAAGCAUCUAAGCACGAAACUUGCCCCGAGAUGAGUUCUCCCUGAGACUUUAAGUCUCCUGAAGGAACGUUAAAGACGAUGACGUUGAUAGGCCGGGUGUGUAAGCGCAGCGAUGCGUUGAGCUAACC
RNAcentral lists this ribosomal RNA (318 nucleotides) under Acinetobacter baumannii. RNAcentral describes it as "partial 23S ribosomal RNA". It matches the Rfam family "Bacterial large subunit ribosomal RNA", at positions 2584 to 2896 of the family's 2925-position model. The record is from RNAcentral. Lineage: Bacteria; Pseudomonadati; Pseudomonadota; Gammaproteobacteria; Moraxellales; Moraxellaceae.